UACGGAGGGGGCUAGCGUUGUUCGGAAUUAUUGGGCGUAAAGCGCACGUAGGCGGCUUGGCAAGUCGGAUGUGAAAGCCCUCGGCUCAACCAAGGAAGUGCAUCCGAAACUGCUGAGCUUGAGUACUUAAGAGGAUCGCGGAAUUCCUGGUGUAGCGGUGAAAUGCGCAGAUAUCCGGAGGAACACCGGUGGCGAAGGCGGCUUCCUGGACCGACACUGACGCUGAGGCGCGAAAGCUAGGGGAGCAAACGGG
RNAcentral lists this ribosomal RNA (253 nucleotides) under uncultured bacterium. RNAcentral describes it as "partial 16S ribosomal RNA". It matches the Rfam family "Bacterial small subunit ribosomal RNA", at positions 524 to 776 of the family's 1533-position model. The record is from RNAcentral.